This is a non-coding RNA of Acanthosepion pharaonis, 112 nucleotides long. The record is from the annotation of a GenBank genome assembly. Lineage: Eukaryota; Metazoa; Mollusca; Cephalopoda; Sepiida; Sepiidae.
UACGGCCAUAACACAUUGAAACACCGGUUCCCGUAUGAUCAUUGAAGUUAAGCAGCCUCGAUCCUGGUCAGGACCUAGAUGGGUGACCGCUUGCGAAUACCAGGUAAUGUAA